CCUACGUGAGGCAGCAGUGAGGAAUAUUGGUCAAUGGGCUUACGCCUGAACCAGCCAAGUCGCGUGAGGGAAGACUGCCCUAUGGGUUGUAAACCUCUUUUGUCAGGGAGCAACGCCGGCUACGUGUAGCCGGACUGAGAGUACCUGAAGAAAAAGCAUCGGCUAACUCCGUGCCAGCAGCCGCGGUAAUACGGAGGAUGCGAGCGUUAUCCGGAUUUAUUGGGUUUAAAGGGUGCGUAGGCGGAAUGCCAAGUCAGCGGUAAAAUCGCGGGGCUCAACCUCGCUCCGCCGUUGAAACUGGCGUUCUUGAGUGGGCGGGAAGUAUGCGGAAUGCGUGGUGUAGCGGUGAAAUGCAUAGAUAUCACGCAGAACUCCGAUUGCGAAGGCAGCAUACCGGCGCCCAACUGACGCUGAAGCACGAAAGCGUGGGUAUCGAACAGGAUUAGAUACCCGUGUAGGC
This 460-nucleotide ribosomal RNA is filed under the name uncultured bacterium. RNAcentral describes it as "partial 16S ribosomal RNA". It matches the Rfam family "Bacterial small subunit ribosomal RNA", at positions 338 to 795 of the family's 1533-position model. The record is from RNAcentral.